RNAcentral lists this non-coding RNA (99 nucleotides) under Gloeochaete wittrockiana. The record is from RNAcentral. Lineage: Eukaryota; Glaucocystophyceae; Gloeochaetales; Gloeochaetaceae.
AUUUUUCUUUUCUUUUCAUCCAUUUCUUUUCAUUUCCGCUCGGAUCAUACUUUUUUUCUCCAACCCUUUACUUUCAAAACAAAAUGCAGGAAUGUCUCA